Molecule: ribosomal RNA, 253 nt
Filed under: uncultured bacterium
Lineage: Bacteria
Description: partial 16S ribosomal RNA
Rfam family: Bacterial small subunit ribosomal RNA
Source: RNAcentral
UACAGAGGGUGCAAGCGUUAAUCGGAAUUACUGGGCGUAAAGCGUGCGCAGGCGGUUCGUUAUGUCCGUUGUGAAAGCCCCGGGCUCAACCUGGGAAUGGCAAUGGAAACUGGCGGGCUAGAGUGUGGCAGAGGGGGGUGGAAUUCCGCGUGUAGCAGUGAAAUGCGUAGAGAUGCGGAGGAACACCGAUGGCGAAGGCAGCCCCCUGGGCUGACACUGACGCUCAGGCACGAAAGCGUGGGGAGCAAACAGG